AGAGUUUGCAAUGCCCAAAGUCGGUGAGAUAACCUUUAUAGGAGUCAGCCGCCUAAGGUAGGGCAGAUGACUGGGGUGAAGUCGUAACAAGGUAGCCGUAGGAGAACCUGCGGCUGGAUCACCUCCUUUCUAAGGAAAACGGAUGGAUGGAGAGCAGAAAUGCUAAGAGAAGUCCAUCAGUUACGGAAGCACACUGCAAAAGAAACUUUGUUCAGUUUUGAGAGUAUCAGCUCUCACUUGUACGUUGAAAACUGAAUAUCUUAAUUCCAAGAAAAAACCGAGAAUCAUUGAGAUCAAUGAAAACAUUGCAAAGCGACCGACAGAGUUCCAAAGAACAAACUUGCAAGGUCAAGUGAAGAAGGGCGCACGGUGAAUGCCUUGGCACUGGAACCCGAUGAAGGACGCGACUAACCGCGAAAGUUUUCGGCGAGCCGUAAGUAGGCUUUGAUCCGGAGGUCUCCGAAUGGGGAACCCAGCAUGUGCAGACAUGCUAUUCUUAAGUGAAUCCAAGCUUGUUGGCGGCAGACGCGGGGA
This 534-nucleotide unclassified non-coding RNA is filed under the name Lactobacillus delbrueckii. RNAcentral's name for it is "partial contains 16S ribosomal RNA, 16S-23S intergenic spacer, and 23S ribosomal RNA". The stretch from base 347 to 534 matches the Rfam family "Bacterial large subunit ribosomal RNA", at positions 1 to 191 of the family's 2925-position model. RNAcentral also lists the same sequence under 1 other name. The record is from RNAcentral. Lineage: Bacteria; Bacillati; Bacillota; Bacilli; Lactobacillales; Lactobacillaceae.